GUGGGUGUAGCUCAGUUGGCAGAGCACCUGGUUGUGGCCCAGGUUGUCGCGCGUUCAAUCCGCGUCACUCACCCCA
This 76-nucleotide transfer RNA is filed under the name Desulfomicrobium orale. Its description in RNAcentral is "tRNA-His(gtg)". It matches the Rfam family "tRNA". Rfam says of the family: Transfer RNA (tRNA) molecules are approximately 80 nucleotides in length. Lineage: Bacteria; Pseudomonadati; Thermodesulfobacteriota; Desulfovibrionia; Desulfovibrionales; Desulfomicrobiaceae. RNAcentral also lists the same sequence under 1 other name. The record is from RNAcentral.